UUUCCGUAGGUGAACCUGCGGAAGGAUCAUUAAAAAUGAAGCCGGGAAACCGGUCCUUCUCACCCUUGAUUAUCUCAAUUUGUUGCUUUGGUGGGCCGCGCAAGCACCGGCUUCGGCUGGAUCGUGCCCGCCAGAGGACCACAACUCUGUAUUAUAUGUCGUCUGAGUACUAUGAAAUAGUUAAAACUUUCAACAACGGAUCUCUUGGUUCUG
This 213-nucleotide unclassified non-coding RNA is filed under the name plant metagenome. Its description in RNAcentral is "partial contains small subunit ribosomal RNA, internal transcribed spacer 1, and 5.8S ribosomal RNA". The record is from RNAcentral.